AAAAAAUGCAAACAAACAAAUCAAACCAACAAACCAACAACCAAUAAAUGACAACAAACAAACAAAAACAAAACAAAACAAAACAAAGGAAGAAGGAAAUAUAUAACAUAGACAAACCCAAAUGUGCAAAAUACCAAAGGACUUUGAUUUAAUGAUUAUUAUGCAUAUGAUUUUGCAAUAAGUUAAAUUUAAGUAUUUUUCCAUUGGUGGGUUAUAAGUAAAAAAAGUUGUUGUAGUUGCAGUAGUAUCCCUUAUCAUACUUGUAUAGUAUGGUUAUUUAGCGAGGAUCUUAUAGUGCUAAAAAGUCAAAAACUUUGUUUUGUUAAGAGUAAAUAACACUUUUUAGAUUUGAUGCGUUCAAAGCACGUAUCUGGUUGCAGCUUCACAAGGAACGCUCAACCCCAAAAUUUCCAAAUUUAAUACACAGAGAGCCUUAUGGGCGAAUAUGAUUUGAUAACAUUAACAGUCAAAUCCACCUAGCGUCACACGAGAAAGGUGUUAUCCUAGUUUCCCAAUCAUUUCUUUAUUUAUCUUGAAGUUCGUAGAAUUAAGGAGGAGUAUUAAUAAGAAUGAGGAACUAUAUGAUGAUCUAAUUACUACUCUUGGAGAUAUUUCACCAGUAGAGAAAUAGGCGGUUCUUUUCCUUAAUAUUUUUGCUUACAGUACAUGCAUGUUGGAGAAGUGAACCAAUUGUUGAUAGAAGCCAUUAAUUCACACCAGUUAAUGAAAAAAAAAAAAAAAAAAAAAAAAAAACAACACAAAGCUGAACCCCCAUAUGAAUUCACGAAAAUGAAAUACGUCUUUGUCUUCACAAAACAAAACCUUCUCUAAAUCUACAAACAAAUCCUUCACAGAAUGAAUUUUGACCAUAUAUUUCAAUAAUAAAACAGAAAUCCCUGAAGUUUUUAGUGUGAUUGUUUGAUCGUUGUUGAAAAUUCUGCAACUGUCAGAAUUUCAAAUAUAAAUUAUGUUUACCUUUUGUAAGUCUGAUGAUAACUUGAACAGAUUUCAAAUUUUAGAUUUUCGAUCUUCAACGAUCGAAGCAGCUUUGAAAUAAUGAUGGAUAUCUAAGACUUUGUUUUUUAGAAAAGGAAAAUGUCACAUAAAAGUGUACAUUAAUCUUAGAAGACUGAUUAAAGUCUGACAGAUUGAUAUUUAUUGCGGUUGGGUUCAGCAAAAUUAUAAUGCAUAAUAGACAUAAUAUUUAUGAACUAGUUUUUUGCCAAGCUGUUGAUUUAACUGUUUAAUCUUACAUG
Molecule: long non-coding RNA, 1256 nt
Filed under: Mytilus galloprovincialis (Mediterranean mussel)
Lineage: Eukaryota; Metazoa; Mollusca; Bivalvia; Mytilida; Mytilidae
Source: RNAcentral